RNAcentral lists this ribosomal RNA (560 nucleotides) under Bacillus sp. Ni51. Its description in RNAcentral is "bacterial SSU rRNA". It matches the Rfam family "Bacterial small subunit ribosomal RNA", at positions 39 to 582 of the family's 1533-position model. The record is from RNAcentral. Lineage: Bacteria; Bacillati; Bacillota; Bacilli; Caryophanales; Bacillaceae.
GCCGCGUGCCUAAUACAUGCAAGUCGAGCGGACAGAUGGGAGCUUGCUCCCUGAUGUUAGCGGCGGACGGGUGAGUAACACGUGGGUAACCUGCCUGUAAGACUGGGAUAACUCCGGGAAACCGGGGCUAAUACCGGAUGGUUGUUUGAACCGCAUGGUUCAGACAUAAAAGGUGGCUUCGGCUACCACUUACAGAUGGACCCGCGGCGCAUUAGCUAGUUGGUGAGGUAACGGCUCACCAAGGCGACGAUGCGUAGCCGACCUGAGAGGGUGAUCGGCCACACUGGGACUGAGACACGGCCCAGACUCCUACGGGAGGCAGCAGUAGGGAAUCUUCCGCAAUGGACGAAAGUCUGACGGAGCAACGCCGCGUGAGUGAUGAAGGUUUUCGGAUCGUAAAGCUCUGUUGUUAGGGAAGAACAAGUGCCGUUCAAAUAGGGCGGCACCUUGACGGUACCUAACCAGAAAGCCACGGCUAACUACGUGCCAGCAGCCGCGGUAAUACGUAGGUGGCAAGCGUUGUCCGGAAUAUUGGGCGUAAAGGGCUCGCAGGCGGUUUU